Molecule: non-coding RNA, 178 nt
Filed under: bacterium
Lineage: Bacteria
Description: 6S RNA
Rfam family: 6S / SsrS RNA
About the family: E. coli 6S RNA was the first non coding RNA to be sequenced, but its function was unknown until recently. It consists of 184 nucleotides that fold into an extended hairpin structure with a large single-stranded internal bulge. The 6S RNA specifically associates with RNA polymerase holoenzyme containing the sigma70 specificity factor.
Source: RNAcentral
GAAACCCUGCUGCGUGCGUGAUGUCAUGCAUUGCUGAGCCAACGUUUACGAACAGGGAGUCCACGACCUGCGCUUGACCCGCAGGCCCCCUCGAGGGGAAGCGGCGAUUCCAGGGAGGACACCCACCUGUCAGAGACAGGUUCACGAGAAUCAUGGCACACGGCCUGGCGGGGUUUUU